This 86-nucleotide transfer RNA is filed under the name Mucilaginibacter sp. OK268. Its description in RNAcentral is "tRNA_Ala_GGC". It matches the Rfam family "tRNA". Rfam says of the family: Transfer RNA (tRNA) molecules are approximately 80 nucleotides in length. The record is from RNAcentral. Lineage: Bacteria; Pseudomonadati; Bacteroidota; Sphingobacteriia; Sphingobacteriales; Sphingobacteriaceae.
AAGGGUGUGGCUGAGUGGAGAAGGCUAUUGCUGAAUAAGCGGUAUACUUGUAAAAGAGUUCGAGGGUUCGAAUCUCUCCACUUUUA